AGUGAACGCUGGCGGUAGGCCUAACACAUGCAAGUCGAACGGCAGCACAGUAAGAGCUUGCUCUUACGGGUGGCGAGUGGCGGACGGGUGAGGAAUACAUCGGAAUCUACUUUUUCGUGGGGGAUAACGUAGGGAAACUUACGCUAAUACCGCAUACGACCUACGGGUGAAAGCAGGGGAUCUUCGGACCUUGCGCGAUUGAAUGAGCCGAUGUCGGAUUAGCUAGUUGGCGGGGUAAAGGCCCACCAAGGCGACGAUCCGUAGCUGGUCUGAGAGGAUGAUCAGCCAAACUGGAACUGAGACACGGUCCAGACUCCUACGGGAGGCAGCAGUGGGGAAUAUUGGACAAUGGGCGCAAGCCUGAUCCAGCCAUACCGCGUGGGUGAAGAAGGCCUUCGGGUUGUAAAGCCCUUUUGUUGGGAAAGAAAAGCAGAAGGUUAAUACCCCGCUGUUCUGACGGUACCCAAAGAAUAAGCACCGGCUAACUUCGUG
Molecule: ribosomal RNA, 492 nt
Filed under: uncultured bacterium
Lineage: Bacteria
Description: partial 16S ribosomal RNA
Rfam family: Bacterial small subunit ribosomal RNA
Source: RNAcentral